Molecule: ribosomal RNA, 262 nt
Filed under: uncultured euryarchaeote
Lineage: Archaea; Methanobacteriati; Methanobacteriota
Description: partial 16S ribosomal RNA
Rfam family: Archaeal small subunit ribosomal RNA
Source: RNAcentral
UUACAAAUCUGGCUGUCGUGAUGCCUAAAAAGCAUUGCAUAGCAAGGGCCGGGCAAGACCGGUGCCAGCCGCCGCGGUAACACCGGCGGCUCGAGUGGUAACCGUUAUUAUUGGGUCUAAAGGGUCUGUAGCCGGCCGGAUAAGUCUCUUGGGAAAUCUGGCAGCUUAACUGUCAGGCUUUCAGGAGAUACUGUCUGGCUCGAGGCCGGGAGAGGUGAGAGGUACUUCAGGGGUAGGGGUGAAAUCUCGUAAUCCUUGAAGG